UUCUUCUUUCACAUCUCCAGACAGCUUCAUUGUUAAAACAUCGUUGCAAUACUAAUCAUUCUAGCCUUUGCUUUAGCCUCAUUGAUGAGAGCUAUAGCAACCCUCAUUUUGAUCAGUCUUGGCCACUCUUAGAGUCUUAGGGCCGCAACAAUUCUUCUUUGGAUUGCACUAGUGGAUAUACAUAUCCAAGCAUUUUCAUAUUGUGUGGUCAGCGAUAGCCUGAGACUAGUAAUGCCAGUUUUGGAUGAAUAGUUUACCUCAACAACUGCCAUGGGAACUAUAAAAAUAUAAAAUAGAAACAAUUUAGUUUGAUAGUUUAUACAGUUUAACAAGGAACAUUCUCAUAACAGGUAUAUUUAGGGAGAAAAGCAUAUUACAUAUUUACAUUGCAUAGCAAAAUCCAUGCAAUAGGAAAUAUCAAUUAAACGAUUUUGUAUUUAUGAACUAUAUAUCUUUUUGGUGGGGCUAUGGAAUAUAUUGACAAAACAAUUAGAAUUUUUAUCAAACAUUUCAAUGGAGUUUGUGGAUGAUAUCUAAAAAAAGUCUGAACCAAUUUCCUACCCAAAUGGCUUCACCAUCACUUCUUAUAAAGACGAAAAACGACAUACAUGAAAAAAAUCUGAGCAUUUGAGGUAAUGAUAUCCGUAAACAUUUUGAUUUUGGAGGAGGUGAGAAUGACGUACCCCACCAAAGUUGAAAAAUCUGAGAAUAUAUAUAUAUAUAUAUAUAUAUAGAUUAGAAAUUGAUCGGAUUUGAUUAUGUCAAUAUCCAUAUUAAAUAUAUAUCUAGAUCAAAAUUUUCUUAUUGGACUCAAAUCGGGAAAACAACAAACUUCUAUGACAACUUAUUUAUUCUCCAAUCCAUUGUUUAUACAUUUGAGAUACACACCAACACUCAUCUAAAGUAUUUGAACGAUGUAUGAAAGAAUUUAUCAUCCAAGUUUUUAAUUAAUUAGAAUAUAUGUAGAUCUACUAAUAAAGUAAUAAAUUGGAAUCUAUCUCAGAUCAAAACAUAUAGCAAAAAUUUGCGAACUAUCAAAAAAAAAAAAAAAAAAACCAAAAUAAUUGAAAGUAAAAAUAUUUGUUGGACAAAAGGCUUACCAAUGCUACCAUAGAACUGGGAUUAGACCUGUGACCUCAAAGUUAUUGAACAUAAAAUCACUAAACUCACACCAACCUCCAUGGAUUUAGACGAAAACUAAGAAAUGAAAAAUGGAUUUAGACAAAAAACUAAGAAAUGAAAAACUAUUUACUA
RNAcentral lists this long non-coding RNA (1254 nucleotides) under Aquilegia coerulea. Its description in RNAcentral is "long non-coding RNA (ACOE_LNC001860)". The record is from RNAcentral. Lineage: Eukaryota; Viridiplantae; Streptophyta; Magnoliopsida; Ranunculales; Ranunculaceae.